UACGGAGGAGGCGAGCGUUAUCCGGAAUUAUUGGGCGUAAAGCGUCCGUAGAUGGUCGUUUCAAGUCUGCUGUCAAAGACCGGGGCUUAACCCCAGAAAGGCGGUGGAAACUGAACAGCUAGAGAGAGGUAGGGGUAGAGGGAAUUCCCAGUGUAGCGGUGAAAUGCGUAGAUAUUGGGAAGAACAUCAGUGGCGAAAGCGCUCUACUGGACCUUAUCUGACAUUGAGGGACGAAAGCUAGGGGAGCGAAUGGG
RNAcentral lists this ribosomal RNA (254 nucleotides) under uncultured bacterium. Its description in RNAcentral is "partial 16S ribosomal RNA". It matches the Rfam family "Bacterial small subunit ribosomal RNA", at positions 524 to 776 of the family's 1533-position model. The record is from RNAcentral.